UACGGAGGGAGCUAGCGUUGUUCGGAAUUACUGGGCGUAAAGCGCGCGUAGGCGGCUUUGUAAGUCAGAGGUGAAAUCCCGGGGCUCAACUCCGGAACUGCCUUUGAAGCUACAUCGCUAUAGUCUUGGAGAGGUGAGUGGAAUUCCGAGUGUAGAGGUGGAAUUCGUAGAUAUUCGGAAGAACACCAGUGGCGAAGGCGACUCACUGGACAAGUACUGACGCUGAGGUGCGAAAGCAUGGGGAGCAAACAGG
This 253-nucleotide unclassified non-coding RNA is filed under the name uncultured Sphingomonadaceae bacterium. RNAcentral describes it as "contains 16S-23S intergenic spacer region". It matches the Rfam family "Bacterial small subunit ribosomal RNA", at positions 524 to 776 of the family's 1533-position model. Lineage: Bacteria; Pseudomonadati; Pseudomonadota; Alphaproteobacteria; Sphingomonadales; Sphingomonadaceae. The record is from RNAcentral.